RNAcentral lists this ribosomal RNA (404 nucleotides) under uncultured prokaryote. Its description in RNAcentral is "bacterial SSU rRNA". It matches the Rfam family "Bacterial small subunit ribosomal RNA", at positions 355 to 776 of the family's 1533-position model. RNAcentral also lists the same sequence under 1 other name. The record is from RNAcentral.
UGGGGAAUAUUGCGCAAUGGAGGAAACUCUGACGCAGCAACGCCGCGUGAAGGAUGAAGGCUUUCGGGUUGUAAACUUCUUUGAUCGGGGACGAAGAUGACGGUACCCGAGGAACAAGCCACGGCUAACUACGUGCCAGCAGCCGCGGUAAUACGUAGGUGGCAAGCGUUGUCCGGAAUUACUGGGUGUAAAGGGCGUGUAGGCGGGAAAGUAAGUCAGAUGUGAAAUACCGGGGCUUAACUCCGGGGCUGCAUCUGAAACUGUUUUUCUUGAGUGUCGGAGAGGAAAGCGGAAUUCCUAGUGUAGCGGUGAAAUGCGUAGAUAUUAGGAGGAACACCGAUGGCGAAGGCAGGUCUCUGGGCCGCAACUGACGCUGAGGAGCGAAAGCAUGGGGAGCGAACAGG